RNAcentral lists this ribosomal RNA (454 nucleotides) under uncultured organism. RNAcentral's name for it is "partial 16S ribosomal RNA". It matches the Rfam family "Bacterial small subunit ribosomal RNA", at positions 330 to 800 of the family's 1533-position model. The record is from RNAcentral.
CGUACACUCCUGCGGGAGGCAGCAGUGGGGAAUAUUGGACAAUGGGCGCAAGCCUGAUCCAGCCAUGCCGCGUGAGUGAUGAAGGCCCUAGGGUUGUAAAGCUCUUUCACCGGUGAAGAUAAUGACGGUAACCGGAGAAGAAGCCCCGGCUAACUUCGUGCCAGCAGCCGCGGUAAUACGAAGGGGGCUAGCGUUGUUCGGAUUUACUGGGCGUAAAGCGCACGUAGGCGGACUAUUAAGUCAGGGGUGAAAUCCCGGGGCUCAACCCCGGAACUGCCUUUGAUACUGGUAGCCUUGAGUUCGAGAGAGGUGAGUGGAAUUCCGAGUGUAGAGGUGAAAUUCGUAGAUAUUCGGAGGAACACCAGUGGCGAAGGCGGCUCACUGGCUCGAUACUGACGCUGAGGUGCGAAAGCGUGGGGAGCAAACAGGAUUAGAAACCCUUGUAGUCCCAUGA